Molecule: ribosomal RNA, 446 nt
Filed under: uncultured bacterium
Lineage: Bacteria
Description: SSU rRNA
Rfam family: Bacterial small subunit ribosomal RNA
Source: RNAcentral
AGAACGAACGCUGGCGGCAGGCCUCAAACAUGCAAGUCUAGGGGGUGUAGCAAUACAUCACCGGCGGACGGGUGCGUAACGCGUGGGAAUGUACCUAUUGGUUCGGAACAACUGAGGGAAACUUCAGCUAAUACCGGAUGAGCCCGAAAGGGGAAGAUUUCUCGCCAAUAGAUCAGCCCGCGUCCGAUUAGCUAGUUGGUGGGGUUAAAGCCUACCAAGGCGACGAUCGGUAGCUGUUCUGAGAGGAAGAUCAGCCACACUGGGACUGAGACACGGCCCAGACUCCUACGGGAGGCAGCAGUUGGGAAUCUUGGACAAUGGGGGAAACCCUGAUCCAGCCAUGCCGCGUGAGUGAUGAAGGCCUUCGGGUUGUAAACUCUUUCGACGGGGACGAUAAUGACGGUACCCGUAGAAUAAGCCCCGGCUAACUUCGUGCCAGCAGCCGC